This 620-nucleotide long non-coding RNA is filed under the name Panax ginseng (ginseng). Its description in RNAcentral is "long non-coding RNA (PGIN_LNC006105)". Lineage: Eukaryota; Viridiplantae; Streptophyta; Magnoliopsida; Apiales; Araliaceae. The record is from RNAcentral.
GUCACUCUCUUCCUCGAUCAGACUCUCACUCGGUCACUCUCAUUACUCAAAACUCAAAUCCAUCUCUCACUCAUCUCUUAGAUCUCGAUCUCUCUCUCAUGUCUCAUCUCUCAGAUCUCGGUCGAUCAAAACUAUUGCAGCUCUGAUUUGCUUGAGAAUCCAAACUAUUGCAACUCUGAUUUUCCUCAGUCCUUAUUAAAGUCUCAGUGCCUCAGUUGUGGUGAAGGUGGGUCAUCAAUUUUUUCAUAAUUUUUUUUGUAACUGGGUCUGGGUUCAUAAGUUUUUCACCUCUAUCUGUGUAAUCUUUAUAUGUUUUUAUGGAUGGAUGAUAUACUGGGAAAAUUGAUGCUUUUUUAUUUAUUUAUGAUUCUUAUGGGAAAUUGGAUGCUUUGGUGUGUUAUUUGAUUUUGAAUGUGUUUAUAAUUCUUUGUUUAAUUUUUUGAUAAAAAUAGGAUUCUAACCUUUGAUAGAACUUGGGUUGACUAUUGUGAAUGGAAGGUUGACUAUUUUGUUUUUUUCCCUGAGGAACAUAUUGAUUUUGUUUAAAUUUGUUGUUAAUGUUUGUCAAUUAUAGCUUCCUUGUAUUUAACUGAUUGCUUUGCAAAUUUUGUAUGGGCCAA